RNAcentral lists this long non-coding RNA (357 nucleotides) under Junco hyemalis (dark-eyed junco). RNAcentral describes it as "lncRNA (ENSJHYG00000011669.1)". Lineage: Eukaryota; Metazoa; Chordata; Aves; Passeriformes; Passerellidae. The record is from RNAcentral.
AUGCGCGCGCCCACCGGCCGUGCCGUGUGCAGCGGGCAGCGGCGCGGGGCCAGCGCGUGCGCGGUUGCCGGGGCGACUGGAACACAACAUGGCGGCCUGAGGGGAGCGCCGGGAGUGGGGCCGGGUCGGGCCCGGCCGCUGAUCCGCCAGCCCCGGCACCGGCGGGACGGCGCGGGAGGCACAGUAAGAGGUUUCCAGUCUCUUUUUCUUGGAUAUAAUGAGCUGGACCACAUCUCAAAAAUCCAUGAAGUGAUAGGCACUCCUGGUAACAAAACUCCAAAAGUUCAAGCACAAACUUUCAGAAUCUCAACAGCAAGAAUGGAAAAAACAUCCCAGCCUUGGCAAGAACUUGUAUAG